Molecule: unclassified non-coding RNA, 336 nt
Filed under: soil metagenome
Description: partial contains 5.8S ribosomal RNA, internal transcribed spacer 2, and large subunit ribosomal RNA
Rfam family: 5.8S ribosomal RNA (bases 1-120)
Source: RNAcentral
GAUGAAGAACGCAGCGAAAUGCGAUAAGUAGUGUGAAUUGCAGAAUUCAGUGAAUCAUCGAAUCUUUGAACGCACAUUGCGCCCCUUGGUAUUCCAUGGGGCAUGCCUGUUCGAGCGUCAUUUGUACCUUCAAGCUUUGCUUGGUGUUGGGUGUUUGUCUCGCCUUUGCGUGUAGACUCGCCUUAAAAUAAUUGGCAGCCGGCGUAUUGAUUUCGGAGCGCAGUACAUCUCGCGCUUUGCACUCAUAACGACAGCGUCCAAAAGUACAUGUUACACUCUUGACCUCGGAUCAGGUAGGGAUACCCGCUGAACUUAAGCAUAUCAAUAAGCGGAGGA